AAACACAACUGUCAGAGCUGCUUCCAGAUCCUAGCUCACAGAGGAUCACGCUAGCCAGCGAUCAUUAAACAAAAGUCUUUAUUGAGUUACAGUUUCCAUUCUCAAACUGCUGCGUGCAACUCUACGUCUCAUGGUUAGACCGGCGAAGCUCCGUCUGAGUCUCCGCCCCUUGUACACCAACUUAAUAUCCUAGCCCUGCUCCACCUUUUCCGCCUGACU
Molecule: non-coding RNA, 219 nt
Organism: Podarcis lilfordi (Lilford's wall lizard)
Lineage: Eukaryota; Metazoa; Chordata; Lepidosauria; Squamata; Lacertidae
Source: the annotation of a GenBank genome assembly